RNAcentral lists this transfer RNA (90 nucleotides) under Rickettsiaceae bacterium. Its description in RNAcentral is "tRNA-Ser". It matches the Rfam family "tRNA". From Rfam's summary of the family: Transfer RNA (tRNA) molecules are approximately 80 nucleotides in length. Their secondary structure includes four short double-helical elements and three loops (D, anti-codon, and T loops). Further hydrogen bonds mediate the characteristic L-shaped molecular structure. tRNAs have two regions of fundamental functional importance: the anti-codon, which is responsible for specific mRNA codon recognition, and the 3' end, to which the tRNAs corresponding amino acid is attached (by aminoacyl-tRNA synthetases). tRNAs cope with the degeneracy of the genetic code in two manners: having more than one tRNA (with a specific anti-codon) for a particular amino acid; and 'wobble' base-pairing, i.e. permitting non-standard base-pairing at the 3rd anti-codon position. The record is from RNAcentral. Lineage: Bacteria; Pseudomonadati; Pseudomonadota; Alphaproteobacteria; Rickettsiales; Rickettsiaceae.
GGAUGGGUGUCCGAGUGGUUUAAGGAAUCAGUCUUGAAAACUGACGUGCGGGCAACCGUACCGUGGGUUCGAAUCCCACCCCAUCCGCCA